RNAcentral lists this ribosomal RNA (1069 nucleotides) under Leuconostoc mesenteroides subsp. jonggajibkimchii. RNAcentral's name for it is "bacterial SSU rRNA". It matches the Rfam family "Bacterial small subunit ribosomal RNA", at positions 390 to 1454 of the family's 1533-position model. The record is from RNAcentral. Lineage: Bacteria; Bacillati; Bacillota; Bacilli; Lactobacillales; Lactobacillaceae.
AGCAACGCCGCGGGGUGAUGAAGGCUUUCGGUCGUAAAGCACUGUUGUAGGGAAGAACAGCUAGAAUAGGAAAUGAUUUUAGUUUGACGGUACCAUACCAGAAAGGGACGGCUAAAUACGUGCCAGCAGCCGCGGUAAUACGUAUGUCCCGAGCGUUAUCCGGAUUUAUUGGGCGUAAAGCGAGCGCAGACGGUUUAUUAAGUCUGAUGUGAAAGCCCGGAGCUCAACUCCGGAAUGGCAUUGGAAACUGGUUAACUUGAGUGCAGUAGAGGUAAGUGGAACUCCAUGUGUAGCGGUGGAAUGCGUAGAUAUAUGGAAGAACACCAGUGGCGAAGGCGGCUUACUGGACUGCAACUGACGUUGAGGCUCGAAAGUGUGGGUAGCAAACAGGAUUAGAUACCCUGGUAGUCCACACCGUAAACGAUGAACACUAGGUGUUAGGAGGUUUCCGCCUCUUAGUGCCGAAGCUAACGCAUUAAGUGUUCCGCCUGGGGAGUACGACCGCAAGGUUGAAACUCAAAGGAAUUGACGGGGACCCGCACAAGCGGUGGAGCAUGUGGUUUAAUUCGAAGCAACGCGAAGAACCUUACCAGGUCUUGACAUCCUUUGAAGCUUUUAGAGAUAGAAGUGUUCUCUUCGGAGACAAAGUGACAGGUGGUGCAUGGUCGUCGUCAGCUCGUGUCGUGAGAUGUUGGGUUAAGUCCCGCAACGAGCGCAACCCUUAUUGUUAGUUGCCAGCAUUCAGAUGGGCACUCUAGCGAGACUGCCGGUGACAAACCGGAGGAAGGCGGGGACGACGUCAGAUCAUCAUGCCCCUUAUGACCUGGGCUACACACGUGCUACAAUGGCGUAUACAACGAGUUGCCAACCCGCGAGGGUGAGCUAAUCUCUUAAAGUACGUCUCAGUUCGGAUUGUAGUCUGCAACUCGACUACAUGAAGUCGGAAUCGCUAGUAAUCGCGGAUCAGCACGCCGCGGUGAAUACGUUCCCGGGUCUUGUACACACCGCCCGUCACACCAUGGGAGUUUGUAAUGCCCAAAGCCGGUGGCCUAACCUUUAGGAAGGAGCC